UGGAGUAUGUGGUUUAAUUCGAUGCAACGCGAAGAACCUUACCUGGUCUUGACAUCCCGGAGACCCUUAGGAAACUAGGGGGUGCUUCCAUCUGGAAGAAUCUGGAGACAGGUGCUGCAUGGCUGUCGUCAGCUCGUGUCGUGAGAUGUUGGGUUAAGUCCCGCAACGAGCGCAACCCUUGCCUUUAGUUGCCAGCAGUUCGGCUGGGCACUCUAAAGGGACUGCCGGUGUUAAACCGGAGGAAGGUGGGGAUGACGUCAAGUCCUCAUGGCCUUUAUGACCAGGGCUACACACGUACUACAAUGGCCGAUACAAAGGGCAGCGACACUGCGAGGUGAAGCCAAUCCCGUAAAAUCGGUCUCAGUCCGGAUUGGAGUCUGCAACUCGACUCCAUGAAGUUGGAAUCGCUAGUAAUCGCGCAUCAGCAUGGCGCGGUGAAUACGUUCCCGGGCCUU
Molecule: ribosomal RNA, 455 nt
Filed under: uncultured Desulfobulbus sp.
Lineage: Bacteria; Pseudomonadati; Thermodesulfobacteriota; Desulfobulbia; Desulfobulbales; Desulfobulbaceae
Description: bacterial SSU rRNA
Rfam family: Bacterial small subunit ribosomal RNA
Source: RNAcentral